CCGGCAAACUCCGUGCCAGCAGCCGCGGUAAUACGGAGGGGGCAAGCGUUGUUCGGAAUUAUUGGGCGUAAAGGGCAUGUAGGUGGUUUGGUUAGUUAAAGGUGAAAUGCCAGGGCUUAACCCUGGAGCUGCUUUUAAUACUGCCAGACUGGAGUCCGGGAGAGGAUAGCGGAAUUCCUAGUGUAGAGGUGAAAUUYGUAGAUAUUAGGAGGAACACCAGUGGCGAAGGCGGCUAUCUGGUCCGGUACUGACACUGAGGUGCGAAAGCGUGGGGAGCAAACMGGAUUAGAUACCCUGGUAGUYCACGCUGUAAACGAUGAGUGCUGGAUGUGGGGGUUUUUACCUCCGUGUUGUAGCUAACGCGUUAAGCACUCYGCCUGGGGACUACGGUCGCAAGACUAAAACUCAAAGGAAUUGACGGGGACCCGCACAAGCGGUGGAGCAUGUGGUUUAAUUYGAUGCAACGCGAAAAACCUUACCACUCCUUGACAUGAAGAUUAGAUCCUCCUUAACAGGAGGGCGCAGUUUCGGCUGGGUCUUGCACAGGUGCUGCAUGGCUGUCGUCAGCUCGUGUCGUGAGAUGUUGGGUUAAGUCCCGCAACGAGCGUAACCCUCACCCUUAGUUGCCAGCGGGUAAUGCCGGGGACUUUAAGGGAACUGCCAGUGGUAAGCUGGAGGAAGGUGGGGAUGAUGUCAAGUCAGCAUGGCCCUUAUGGGGUGGGCUACACACGUGCUACAAUGGUGACUACAAUAGGUUGCAAUGCCGCAAGGCUGAGCUAAUCCGUCAAAAGUCAUCUUAGUUCGGAUUGUCCUCUGCAACUCGAGGGCAUGAAGCAGGAAUCGCUAGUAAUCGUGGAUCAGCAUGCCACGGUGAAUACGUUCUCGGGUCUUGUACACACUGCCCGUCACGCCAU
Molecule: ribosomal RNA, 914 nt
Filed under: uncultured Anaplasma sp.
Lineage: Bacteria; Pseudomonadati; Pseudomonadota; Alphaproteobacteria; Rickettsiales; Anaplasmataceae
Description: bacterial SSU rRNA
Source: RNAcentral